Molecule: transfer RNA, 64 nt
Filed under: Ixodes angustus
Lineage: Eukaryota; Metazoa; Arthropoda; Arachnida; Ixodida; Ixodidae
Description: tRNA-Phe
Rfam family: tRNA
About the family: Transfer RNA (tRNA) molecules are approximately 80 nucleotides in length. Their secondary structure includes four short double-helical elements and three loops (D, anti-codon, and T loops).
Source: RNAcentral
AUUCUUAUAGUUUAGUUAAAAUAUUACACUGAAAAUGUAAAGAAAAAGGUUUUUUUUGAGAAUA